UGUUAUUUUUUUAUUUACAAUAUUAUCUUUCUAGGUAUCUUGCCAGUGGAGACAGUAUGAUGUAAAUAUCCUAUGCCUUUCGUAUCGCUCCUUCAACAGUGAGCAUUAUUAUUAAAGAGACAUGUGAUGCUAUUUGGGACUGUUUGAAUCGAAAAGUUUUACUGACCCCAAAAAUAGAUUCCUGGUUGCAGAUUGCUGAAGAUUUUAAAGCCAAAUGGCAGUUAUCACACUGUGUUGGAGCUAUUGAUGGGAAACAUGUCAUAAUCCGGGCCCCAGUAAAAUCUGGAUCUACAUUUUUUAAUUAUAAAGGGACGCACAGUUUAAAUCUUCUAGCAUUAUGAGAUUGCAAAUUAUAAGUUUACACUAGUGGAUAUUGGGGCAGAAGGUAGACACAGCGAUGGUGGAAGUUUAAAAAAACUCUGAAAUCGGGAGGUUGAUAACAACAAAUAAUAUUAAAUUUCCAGCACCAACAGUUCUAGGCGAUAAGGGGAAGUUAUUCAAUUAUUACAUUGCAGCAGAUGAAGCUUUUCCUCUGACUACUUCUAUUAUGCGCCCAUAUCCAGGUCGGUUUCUCGCACAAGAUAAAAGAGUUUUUAAUUAAAGAUUGAGUCGUGGCCUAAGGGUAAUUAAGAAUGUUUUUGGAAUUUUGGCUCAAAGAUGAAGAAUAUACAGAAAAACAAUAAUCGCAGGUGUACCAACUGUUGAAGCCAUAAUUAAAGCCACUGUAUGCCUACAUAAUUAUGUAAUAAAUGCAGAAGCUAACAACAGGAGUACCAGAAGUUAUUUUACUCUUAAUAGUAUUGACAAAGAAACCAAUCAGGGAGAAAUAAUUCAUGCAGACUGGAGAAAUGAUGAUUCCA
Long non-coding RNA from Anthonomus grandis grandis, 860 nucleotides. RefSeq lists it as uncharacterized. Lineage: Eukaryota; Metazoa; Arthropoda; Insecta; Coleoptera; Curculionidae. The record is from RefSeq and is a predicted model, not a curated record. The transcript is spliced from 3 exons.